This 482-nucleotide ribosomal RNA is filed under the name uncultured bacterium. RNAcentral's name for it is "partial 16S ribosomal RNA". It matches the Rfam family "Bacterial small subunit ribosomal RNA", at positions 30 to 507 of the family's 1533-position model. The record is from RNAcentral.
AUUGAACGCUGGCGGCAUGCCUUACACAUGCCAGUCGAACGGUAACGGGCCUUCGGGUGCCGACGAGUGGCGAACGGGUGAGUAAUACAUCGGAACGUGCCCGAUCGUGGGGGAUAACGAGGCGAAAGCUUUGCUAAUACCGCAUACGAUCUACGGAUGAAAGCAGGGGACCGCAAGGCCUUGCGCGGACGGAGCGGCCGAUGGCAGAUUAGGUAGUUGGUGGGAUAAAAGCUUACCAAGCCGACGAUCUGUAGCUGGUCUGAGAGGAUGAUCAGCCACACUGGGACUGAGACACGGCCCAGACUCCUACGGGAGGCAGCAGUGGGGAAUUUUGGACAAUGGGCGCAAGCCCGAUCCAGCCAUGCCGCGUGCAGGAUGAAGGCCUUCGGGUUGUAAACUGCUUUUGUACGGAACGAAAAGCCUUCUUUUAAUACAGGAGGGUCAUGACGGUACCGUAAGAAUAAGCACCGGCUAACUACGUG